GACGAACGCUGGCGGCGUGCUUAACACAUGCAAGUCGAACGAAGUGGCGAAAGGGUGAGUAACGCGUAAUCAACCUGCCCUCCCGAGGGGGAUAACAGUUGGAAACGACUGCUAAUACCGCAUACUGAAGGUGGGGAUUGCGUCUGAUUAGGUAGUUGGAGGGGGAACGGCCCACCAAGGCGCUGAUCAGUAGCCGGUCUGGGAGGGUGAACGGCCAAAUUGGGCCUGGGGCACGGCCCAGACUCCUACGGGAGGCAGCAGUGGGGAAACUUCCGCAAUGGGUGAAAGUCUGACGGAGCAACGCCGCGUGAGUGAUGACGGCCUUCGGGUUGUAAAGCUCUGUUGAUCGGGACGCGGUACCGAAAUAGAAAGCCACGGCUAACUACGUGCCAGCAGCCGCGGUAAUUC
RNAcentral lists this ribosomal RNA (408 nucleotides) under uncultured bacterium. RNAcentral's name for it is "partial 16S ribosomal RNA". It matches the Rfam family "Bacterial small subunit ribosomal RNA", at positions 28 to 526 of the family's 1533-position model. The record is from RNAcentral.